AUCCAACUGACUAGUCCAAAAUAGAACGAAAGGGGCGUCCUGGAU
Schistosoma rodhaini is the source of this 45-nucleotide non-coding RNA. Lineage: Eukaryota; Metazoa; Platyhelminthes; Trematoda; Strigeidida; Schistosomatidae. The record is from Rfam.